RNAcentral lists this unclassified non-coding RNA (254 nucleotides) under uncultured bacterium. RNAcentral describes it as "16S-23S ribosomal RNA intergenic spacer". The record is from RNAcentral.
UUAGAGACCUGCUCAGAAUUUUUUGGUUAUUGCUUCACUUAACUUUCAUUAUCAAAUUAGUUCUUUAAAUAAUGAUGUUGGCAUUAAGGCCUGUAGGUUCAUAACCUGAACAUCAUCAUCGUUUAUGCUGGUUCGUUUGUGUUCGAUCGUAAGAUUGUAAUAUGGAUGGAUAUACCAAACAGUAAUAGACAAGCUCUUUGACAUAUUGGGUAGUAAUUAAGUUGUAAAUGACGAGUAAUAGUAAUAACUUUUUU